AGAAAAGAAAAAAGGAUGACAACUUUAUUUCUAGGUUUUCCCAGAUGCCAUGAGACAAAACUGUCUCCGGGUGUGGCACAAUCGCAGUUCACAACCCCCACGUGGCCACCGAACUGACCAAAAGAACGAAAGAGCGUUUCACCUUUCAGUUUGUGGUGGAUGGAGUUUUCUUUCCGGAGCUUAAUGAGGUCUUGACCAGGGAGCUCGUAGAGGAUGGAUAUUCUGGAGUUGAAGUUAGGGUUAAGCUGAUGAGGACGGAGAUCAUAAUCAGGACGACUCGCAGUCAGAAUGUUCUUGUUCUUGGUAAAACUUUGUUAUCGGCAAAUUGAAUCAUAACUUGUAACUUUGAUUUAGCUGUGUUGGGUAUGCAGUAAUCAGUGCUCAGAGUGUAAUUCGGCAAACUAUAUGCUUUUUAUUUUAUUAUUUUUUGCCAACAAACUAGAUACUGUCUUAUUAGAUUAUGUUAUUCUGGAAUUGAAGGGCGUAUAGUUGUGAAUUAACUUUUUUUUAUCAGUAGCUUUCCAUGUGUAUUUUUUAAAUACCAACUUUUUGGGUUAAGAUCUUGCUUUGAAAUUGGAUUUUGUGCUAAUUUUUAUUAAAAAAAAUCUAGUUUUAGCAUUGUCUAUUAUCUCUUACCUAAGAUUUUAUGGGUUAAGAGGAUCUUCCAUCAAUGCUUAUAUAGACUAACUUGGGGUUUUGUUAGUCCUUGAGAACUGUUAUAGUUCUUGGGGUUCGGGAACUCCUGCAUCUCAUUCUUUCCCUUCCUUUGAGGAUGCUGUUGAUGACCUGAUGAAACCAUCUAGAUGUGCAGGAACUGAAAUUUAAUCUUAUCCGAUCGACUACAGAUGUGCAGGAACUGAAGAGUGUGUUUGAUUGUGGAGCUUUGGAGUGAUCCCUCUCCUCAUCUGGGUGAAAGUUUUUGGACGGGAGGGGAGUGUAGCAAGCCACCUAAUGAAACAGCCACAACCUUCCCUAUCGCACCCUCCGUCACCAAACACAUCUUGUUAUUAUUGCUGAGAUUGAACAACAAUGAAACCCACCUUGUUAUCAUCAUUCGUCACCUAACUAGGUCUCCGCCCUUGCAGCAACGGCUAUUUGGGGGGUCUCAUAUUGCAAUAAAUCGAUCGACUCCAA
Prosopis cineraria is the source of this 1134-nucleotide long non-coding RNA. RefSeq lists it as uncharacterized. Lineage: Eukaryota; Viridiplantae; Streptophyta; Magnoliopsida; Fabales; Fabaceae. The record is from RefSeq and is a predicted model, not a curated record. The transcript has 3 exons.